This 72-nucleotide transfer RNA is filed under the name Capito niger. RNAcentral describes it as "tRNA-Val". Lineage: Eukaryota; Metazoa; Chordata; Aves; Piciformes; Ramphastidae. The record is from RNAcentral.
CAAAACGUAGCUUAACAUUCAAGCACUCAGCUUACACCUGAGAGAUGCCUGCUCUGAUCCAGGUCGUUUUGA